This 415-nucleotide ribosomal RNA is filed under the name Alexandrium margalefii. RNAcentral describes it as "partial Bacterial small subunit ribosomal RNA". It matches the Rfam family "Bacterial small subunit ribosomal RNA", at positions 1 to 418 of the family's 1533-position model. The record is from RNAcentral. Lineage: Eukaryota; Dinophyceae; Gonyaulacales; Pyrocystaceae.
AUGGAGAGUUUGAUCCUGGCUCAGGAUGAACGCUAGCGGCAGGCCUAAUACAUGCAAGUCGAACGAGAUUCUUUUCUUCGGAGAAGAUGAAAGUGGCGCACGGGUGCGUAACGCGUAUGCAACCUACCCAUUACAGGGGGAUAGCCCGGGGAAACUCGGAUUAAUACCCCAUAGUUUCCUGUUUUUGCAUAAUUACAGGAAUAAAGAUUUAUCGGUAGUGGAUGGGCAUGCGUCUGAUUAGCUAGUUGGUGAGGUAACGGCUCACCAAGGCGACGAUCAGUAGGGGGUCUGAGAGGAUGAUCCCCCACACUGGUACUGAGAUACGGACCAGACUCCUACGGGAGGCAGCAGUAGGGAAUAUUGGUCAAUGGGCGAGAGCCUGAACCAGCCAUGCCGCGUGCAGGAAGACAGCUUU